RNAcentral lists this transfer RNA (88 nucleotides) under Eubacteriales bacterium. RNAcentral's name for it is "tRNA-Ser". It matches the Rfam family "tRNA". From Rfam's summary of the family: Transfer RNA (tRNA) molecules are approximately 80 nucleotides in length. Their secondary structure includes four short double-helical elements and three loops (D, anti-codon, and T loops). Lineage: Bacteria; Bacillati; Bacillota; Clostridia; Eubacteriales. The record is from RNAcentral.
GGAGAUGUACCCAAGUGGCUGAAGGGUCCGCACUCGAAAUGCGGUAGGUCGGGCAACCGGCGCGGGAGUUCAAAUCUCCCCAUCUCCG